RNAcentral lists this small RNA (27 nucleotides) under Bombyx mori (domestic silkworm). Its description in RNAcentral is "ovarian small RNA-13464". The record is from RNAcentral. Lineage: Eukaryota; Metazoa; Arthropoda; Insecta; Lepidoptera; Bombycidae.
CCAACUCGAAAUCGUGAACUAUGUCGA